This 342-nucleotide unclassified non-coding RNA is filed under the name soil metagenome. RNAcentral's name for it is "partial contains 5.8S ribosomal RNA, internal transcribed spacer 2, and large subunit ribosomal RNA". The stretch from base 1 to 120 matches the Rfam family "5.8S ribosomal RNA", at positions 35 to 154 of the family's 154-position model. The record is from RNAcentral.
GAUGAAGAACGCAGCGAAAUGCGAUAAGUAAUGUGAAUUGCAGAAUUCAGUGAAUCAUCGAAUCUUUGAACGCACAUUGCGCCCACCAGCAUUCUGGCGGGCAUGCCUGUUCGAGCGUCAUUUCAACCCUCGAGCCCCCCCGGGGGCCUCGGUGUUGGGGGACGGCACACCAGCCGCCCCCGAAAUGCAGUGGCGACCUCGCCGCAGCCUCCCCUGCGUAGUAGCACACACCUCGCACCGGAGCGCGGAGACGGUCACGCCGUAAAACGCCCAACUUCUUAGAGUUGACCUCGGAUCAGGUAGGAAUACCCGCUGAACUUAAGCAUAUCAAUAAGCGGAGGA